Engraulis encrasicolus (European anchovy) is the source of this 1230-nucleotide long non-coding RNA. RefSeq lists it as uncharacterized. The record is from RefSeq and is a predicted model, not a curated record. NCBI's taxonomy places the organism in Eukaryota, Metazoa, Chordata, Actinopteri, Clupeiformes, Engraulidae. The transcript is spliced from 2 exons.
UCAAAGAACGUCCCCUGGAAACGCAUCACUGAUCACAAAACAACAUCCGGUCGAUUAACCACUUCCUGGAAUAUUUGAAUUAUCAGAGACGAUGCUAAUUAGAAUAGAGAAUCUUUGGUAUUACCCCUGUAAUUAAGAGAUCAGAGAUUUCUAAAACUAGUGAAAAAGAGUUACAAAGUUAAUUGUGUUUCCUGCUGGCCAUUUUCGGUUGUUUUGACGGAGAGUAAUGAGUAUGACUGAGCUGUAUUUUACCGCGAUUUCAACGUUGUGUCAUUUCAACAGUAUUCUGGUCAAGGUAGCAUCAUGAAGGCAGUUUACCCUUAAAAAAAGGACCAUCAUCGUCAGAAAAGUUCCUUUAACCCUUUAGCUCCCAUAGAGGCCGUGAACGUCCGGCCACCUCUCUCCCAUAACGCCCGCCGACACCCGGAGUAUUUUCAUAGCUGAACAGAAGUCAUCAUGCAGUUUCUACAGCUUUCACUUUAGAUCACUAUUACAGACCCUCAAUACCUAUAUUUUUAUUAUAACAAUUAUUUUGGGGAGAUCCUGAACUACAGUGCAAAGUGGCUGAGCUCAAAAGUAGCCUACGGGCUCACUGCUGCUGCCCAGUAGAAAAUAUCUUUUAAAUGCAGUACAGUUCCUAAUUGUGCGUUCAUGUGGUAAUUACGUAAAUACCAAACACUGACAUCCGAAGCACACAUGAACGCCACCGGCCCUUGUAGAAAAUUUUGAUUAACGACUUUACGAGCUGAUGACGUACACAACAGCUGGCUCUACUCUCACCAUGGCAACCGCUAAGUUGAAAUACUCAAAAACCGGCAUUCAGUAUGUUCAGAUAGUCAUGGUAAAUGACUGUCAGAAAAUAUUCAGCAUUUUUACCUUUUGACUUCCUAAUUCAUUUGCUUGCUGUAGCUGAUGAACAACAGUCUAUUAUCGUUUUAUUAACAAAAAAAUGGCCAGAGUCUCACUCUGGUCCACCAUCUUUAAGUUGUAAACAACAACAAAAUAGCACAUGAACGCAACGCACUUGUAAAUACCACUUCACAACUAGAUAAUAUCUACUAGAUAAGACCACAUGAAUGCACUAUAUCUCUUCUCUUGCCUCCCUCUCCUCUCCACAAGCUCUCCCCUCAUCUAAUCUCUUCAUUUUGCUAGUCCUCAUCUCUCUUUCUUCAUUAUGUUACUGUUUAAGCUGAUAACUGUUAUCUUUUAAAAAUUAAAUAGUUAAAGAUA